This 434-nucleotide ribosomal RNA is filed under the name uncultured Clostridium sp. RNAcentral describes it as "partial 16S ribosomal RNA". It matches the Rfam family "Bacterial small subunit ribosomal RNA", at positions 341 to 792 of the family's 1533-position model. The record is from RNAcentral. Lineage: Bacteria; Bacillati; Bacillota; Clostridia; Eubacteriales; Clostridiaceae.
ACGGAAGGCAGCAGUGGGGAAUAUUGCACAAUGGGGGAAACCCUGAUGCAGCAACGCCGCGUGAGUGAAGAAGUAUUUCGGUAUGUAAAGCUCUAUCAGCAGGAAAGAAAAUGACGGUACCUGACUAAGAAGCCCCGGCUAACUACGUGCCAGCAGCCGCGGUAAUACGUAGGGGGCAAGCGUUAUCCGGAUUUACUGGGUGUAAAGGGAGCGUAGACGGCUUUGCAAGUCUGAAGUGAAAGCCCGGGGCUCAACCCCGGAACUGCUUUGGAAACUGUAGAGCUAGAGUGCAGGAGAGGUAAGUGGAAUUCCUAGUGUAGCGGUGAAAUGCGUAGAUAUUAGGAGGAACACCAGUGGCGAAGGCGGCUUACUGGAUUGUAACUGACGUUGAGGCUCGAAGGCGUGGGGAGCAAACAGGAUUAGAUACCCUGGUA